Non-coding RNA from Pangasianodon gigas (Mekong giant catfish), 72 nucleotides. The record is from the annotation of a GenBank genome assembly. NCBI's taxonomy places the organism in Eukaryota, Metazoa, Chordata, Actinopteri, Siluriformes, Pangasiidae.
GCAGUGGUAACUCAGUGGUUAAGGUGUUGGCCUACUGUUCAGAAGGUCAUGAGUUCAAGUCCUGGCACUGCU